Molecule: long non-coding RNA, 199 nt
Organism: Dermochelys coriacea (leatherback sea turtle)
Lineage: Eukaryota; Metazoa; Chordata; Testudines; Dermochelyidae
Exons: 2
Source: RefSeq, a predicted model, not a curated record
AUUAUCACCGAAAACACUAGACUUAGAGAUGAGUGGUUCUUUAAAAUCAGUCUCUUCAAAUGCAUGGUUCUUCUGAUCCCAAAGGACGAGCCACACACCCAGGUCAAUAUAUAACUAGAUCUUACCCCAAAAUCAUGCUGAUGCCAAUCCUUUAGUAUCUGAAAUCUAAAAGUUUAUUUAUAUAAAGAAAGAAAGAAAG